RNAcentral lists this long non-coding RNA (480 nucleotides) under Zonotrichia albicollis (white-throated sparrow). RNAcentral's name for it is "lncRNA (ENSZALG00000017831.1)". Lineage: Eukaryota; Metazoa; Chordata; Aves; Passeriformes; Passerellidae. The record is from RNAcentral.
CACAGAAGAGAAGGGAAAAGACAAAACCAAAGAACACAGUUUUCCAUUAUCAGAACAAGGCAAAGUGGGAUCAGCUGCUUUUUGAAGAUAAUUUGUUGUUGUGAGAGACCUCACAUAGUCCCCAAGGCUGCAUUUCCCAUUCCAGUCUCACCGUGGAGUAUUGGUUGCAGCAGGACUGUUAAUCACUGCUAAUUGUGAGCGCUGGGGCAGGAACAACUGUCCCCAGUGAAGCCAGCUGAACCAGUCUUCAGUGCCAGAAAUGCAGUAUCAGCAAUGACAGCAAGGCCCCAGGCACUAGCAGAAGCUAUCUGCUGCACAAAGCCAGAACAGCCGGCUGGAGCUGGAGAGACACUCAAGUGUGGCACACACAGCAAUCCUCCUUCCAGCCCAGUUCAGUCCUGCUCCCUUCUACCCAGCUGGGCUCGUGGAUCCCUGCAAAGGGAAAAACUCAGGCUGGACUUGCACAGCAAGAGAAGAAAG